GCCCGAGUGCUCAGCCCCACAGCCAGGGUCAGAGCGGUUCCUGCUGCUGCCCCGGGGGUCCCCAGCUGGAGCCCGGACAGCUGGAGACUUCCAGCAGCACCUUUGAUAUUCCUCUCACUUUGUCUGGAGCAGUAUUCUACGGGAAAGACUAAAUUACGAAGAAAAGACACAUUAUUUUGUCAUUGUUCAAGCAAAUGACUGAGGACAGAAUCUUAAUGAGCGAAGGACAAGUACAACCAGCCUGACAGUAGAUGUGCUCGAUGGGGACGAUUUGGGACCAAUGUUUCUUCCUUGUGUCUUGGUGAAUAAUACUCGUGACUGUAGACCUCUCACCUAUCAAGCGAGCUUGCCAGAACUGACUGAUCCUGCCACCCAAGACGGUCUUGAAUCGCUCCACUCCAUCCAUUUCUGCUCUUCCAGUAAAAG
Long non-coding RNA from Gavia stellata (red-throated loon), 426 nucleotides. RefSeq lists it as uncharacterized. The transcript is spliced from 4 exons. The record is from RefSeq and is a predicted model, not a curated record. Lineage: Eukaryota; Metazoa; Chordata; Aves; Gaviiformes; Gaviidae.